RNAcentral lists this long non-coding RNA (205 nucleotides) under Capsella rubella. Its description in RNAcentral is "long non-coding RNA (CRUB_LNC003075)". The record is from RNAcentral. Lineage: Eukaryota; Viridiplantae; Streptophyta; Magnoliopsida; Brassicales; Brassicaceae.
CGGAGUUGAACAAUUUGGUCUCUUAGAUAAAAAUAUUUGAUCAUCAACUGAUGGAGAGAAAAUUUGGAGAUGUAGAAUUCACCAUUUAAAAGGUUUGAUAUGAUAGAAGAGUUGGAGAAAGCGUCGAGAUUGUUGAAAACUUGGCUAGCAUAGAAGAAAACACCUAUCUCAUUGCUGCUUGUGAAAGGUUUGACGUCAAUUGCGC